AUAUUAAAUGGAUUUUUGAAACAGGGGGAUGGAAGAGGAGCUUGCUCGGUCCACCCCAUGCAUCAACCUGGUAUUGCAGUGUCUCCAGGACUGGUGCGUCUCCU
This 104-nucleotide small nuclear RNA is filed under the name Chelydra serpentina (North American snapping turtle). Its description in RNAcentral is "U2 spliceosomal RNA (ENSCSRG00000013084.1)". It matches the Rfam family "U2 spliceosomal RNA", at positions 85 to 192 of the family's 192-position model. Rfam says of the family: U2 is a small nuclear RNA (snRNA) component of the spliceosome (involved in pre-mRNA splicing). Complementary binding between U2 snRNA (in an area lying towards the 5' end but 3' to hairpin I) and the branchpoint sequence (BPS) of the intron results the bulging out of an unpaired adenosine, on the BPS, which initiates a nucleophilic attack at the intronic 5' splice site, thus starting the first of two transesterification reactions that mediate splicing. The record is from Rfam by way of RNAcentral. Lineage: Eukaryota; Metazoa; Chordata; Testudines; Chelydridae.